This 254-nucleotide ribosomal RNA is filed under the name uncultured bacterium. Its description in RNAcentral is "partial 16S ribosomal RNA". It matches the Rfam family "Bacterial small subunit ribosomal RNA", at positions 524 to 776 of the family's 1533-position model. The record is from RNAcentral.
UACGGAGGGUGCAAGCGUUGUUCGGAAUUAUUGGGCGUAAAGCGCGCGCAGGCGGUCGAAUAAGUCUAUGGGUAAAAGGCCGGGGCUCAACCCCGUGUACGCCCAGGAUACUGUUCGACUGGAGACACGUAGAGGCAAGCGGAAUUUCGGGUGUAGCGGUGGAAUGCGUGGAUAUCCGAAAGAACACCGGAGGCGAAGGCGGCUUGCUGGGCGUGAUCUGACGCUGAGGCGCGAAAGCGUGGGGAGCGAACAGG